Molecule: ribosomal RNA, 450 nt
Filed under: uncultured bacterium
Lineage: Bacteria
Description: bacterial SSU rRNA
Rfam family: Bacterial small subunit ribosomal RNA
Source: RNAcentral
GUGGGGAAUAUUGGACAAUGGGCGAAAGCCUGAUCCAGCCAUGCCGCGUAUGUGAAGAAGGUCUUCGGAUUGUAAAGCACUUUAAGUUGGGAGGAAGGGCAGUAAGUUAAUACCUUGCUGUUUUGACGUUACCGACAGAAUAAGCACCGGCUAACUUCGUGCCAGCAGCCGCGGUAAUACGAAGGGUGCAAGCGUUAAUCGGAAUUACUGGGCGUAAAGCGCGCGUAGGUGGUUUUGUAAGUUGGAGGUGAAAUCCCCGGGCUCAACCUGGGAACUGCCUCCAAAAAUGCAUGACUAGAGUACGGUAGAGGGUAGUGGAAUUUCCUGUGUAGCGGUGAAAUGCGUAGAUAUAGGAAGGAACACCAGUGGCGAAGGCGACUACCUGGACUGAUACUGACACUGAGGUGCGAAAGCGUGGGGAGCAAACAGGAUUAGAUACCCUAGUAGUCC